This 400-nucleotide ribosomal RNA is filed under the name uncultured bacterium. RNAcentral's name for it is "bacterial SSU rRNA". It matches the Rfam family "Bacterial small subunit ribosomal RNA", at positions 355 to 747 of the family's 1533-position model. The record is from RNAcentral.
UGGGGAAUCUUGGACAAUGGGCGCAAGCCUGAUCCAGCAAUGCCGCGUGGGUGAAGAAGGCCUUCGGGUUGUAAAGCCCUUUUGUUUGGGAGCAAAUCCUGCUUGCGAAUAGUGAGCGGGGAUGAGAGUACCAAAAGAAUAAGCACCGGCUAACUACGUGCCAGCAGCCGCGGUAAUACGUAGGGUGCGAGCGUUAAUCGGAAUUACUGGGCGUAAAGCGUGCGCAGGUGGCUAUGUAAGACCGACGUGAAAUCCCCGGGCUCAACCUGGGAAUUGCGUAGGUGACUGCAUGGCUAGAGUGUGGCAGAGGGGGGUGGAAUUCCACGUGUAGCAGUGAAAUGCGUAGAGAUGUGGAGGAACACCGAUGGCGAAGGCAGCCCCCUGGGCUAACACUGACACU